Molecule: long non-coding RNA, 825 nt
Filed under: Homo sapiens (human)
Lineage: Eukaryota; Metazoa; Chordata; Mammalia; Primates; Hominidae
Description: HSALNT0048111
Source: RNAcentral
GAGCCCAAGAUAAUCGCACUUGAAAGGAAGCCUUGCUGCUGCCAUCUUUUAUAGGAUACUUUGCACAUCAAUAGAGGCAGAAAUGUCAAAGUUGCCUUGUAAUAAUGCUCCAAGAGAGGAGUAAAGUGUAGUGGCCCGUGGUCUCUGUAACUCCCUACAUCCAGUGCCAAAGGCAAGGGUAGGGCUGCUGCCAAGGUGGCCCAUCCAAGGGGUGGACCUAACAAUAGGUAAAUGAAGAAAGCAACGUAGCUUCCAUCUCACCCUUCCACUGAAAGUGCUCUCACCAAACUCACAAAUUAUAUCCUCAAGACUAACUCCAAUUUCUUAAAAUGUAACUCCCAUUUCUACCAUUGGCUGCAUUUGACAUUUCCAACUUUUUCUAAUUUCAAUGGCUUCUCUGAGUUUCCUAGGACCACCUAGUCCUCUUCUUUUGACAAUGCUUAAAAUAUUGGCAUUUCUGCAGGUCCUGUCUUAGAUACUGUACUCACUCUACAGACCCUCUCUGAGUGAUCUCAUCUCCUUCCAUAACUACAGCUAAACCUAUAUGCUAAUGAAUCUCAAAUCUGCAUCUUCAUUCCUGAUCUCUUUUCUGAGCUCCAGGCAGUAUAACCCCUACCCAUUGGCACCGGCCAUCAUCCAUUCUACUUAAUUUUGUAUCAUUGACAAUAAAGCAAUCAUGAAAUCAUUUUGUAUGCCUGUUUUCUAAGUCAGUUCACAUUUCUCUGUUCAUGUAACAAAGAAUCUGCUUUUAAGAAUUUUAGCAACAGUUUCUAAACAUUUUCAGUUCCUCUGGUCCUGCCUUUCCAUUUUAUCCUUCACACUGCA